GAUGAACGCUGGCGGCGUGCUUAACACAUGCAAGUCGAACGGAAAGGCCCAAGCUUGCUUGGGUACUCGAGUGGCGAACGGGUGAGUAACACGUGGGUGAUCUGCCCUGCACUUCGGGAUAAGCCUGGGAAACUGAGUCUAAUACUGGAUAGGACCACUUCUUGGAUGGUGUGGUGGAAAGUUUUUUCGGUGUGGGAUGAGCUCGCGGCCUAUCAGCUUGUUGGUGGGGUAAUGGCCUACCAAGGCGUCGACGGGUAGCCGGCCUGAGAGGGUGUACGGCCACAUUGGGACUGAGAUACGGCCCAGACUCCUACGGGAGGCAGCAGUGGGGAAUAUUGCACAAUGGGCGCAAGCCUGAUGCAGCGACGCCGCGUGGGGGAUGACGGCCUUCGGGUUGUAAACUCCUUUCGCUAGGGACGAAGCGUUUUUGUGACGGUACCUGGAGAAGAAGCACCGGCUAACUACGUG
RNAcentral lists this ribosomal RNA (468 nucleotides) under uncultured bacterium. RNAcentral's name for it is "partial 16S ribosomal RNA". It matches the Rfam family "Bacterial small subunit ribosomal RNA", at positions 28 to 507 of the family's 1533-position model. The record is from RNAcentral.